This 73-nucleotide transfer RNA is filed under the name Loxodonta africana (African savanna elephant). RNAcentral's name for it is "tRNA-Val (AAC) (tRNA-Val-AAC-24-1)". Lineage: Eukaryota; Metazoa; Chordata; Mammalia; Proboscidea; Elephantidae. The record is from RNAcentral.
GUUUUCGUGGUGUAGUGGUUAUCACAUUCGCCUAACACGUGAAAGGUCCCUGGUUCGAAGCCAGGCUGAAACA